GCGGGUGUAGCUCAGCGGUAGAGCUACGGCUUCCCAAGCCGUGAGUCGUGGGUUCGAAUCCCAUCACCCGCU
This 72-nucleotide transfer RNA is filed under the name Anaerolinea sp. RNAcentral describes it as "tRNA-Gly". It matches the Rfam family "tRNA". From Rfam's summary of the family: Transfer RNA (tRNA) molecules are approximately 80 nucleotides in length. Their secondary structure includes four short double-helical elements and three loops (D, anti-codon, and T loops). RNAcentral also lists the same sequence under 3 other names. The record is from RNAcentral. Lineage: Bacteria; Bacillati; Chloroflexota; Anaerolineae; Anaerolineales; Anaerolineaceae.